This 1484-nucleotide ribosomal RNA is filed under the name uncultured Bordetella sp. RNAcentral's name for it is "partial 16S-23S ribosomal RNA intergenic spacer". It matches the Rfam family "Bacterial small subunit ribosomal RNA". Lineage: Bacteria; Pseudomonadati; Pseudomonadota; Betaproteobacteria; Burkholderiales; Alcaligenaceae. The record is from RNAcentral.
GGUUCGAUCUGGCUCAGAUUGAACGCUGGCGGCGGGGUCUUACAUACAGAGUCAGACGGCAGCACGGACGGUCUGGUGAGCGGCGAACGGGUGGUAAUGUAUCCGGAACGUGCCUAGUAGCGGGGAUAACUACGCGAAAGCGUGGCUAAUGCCGCAUACGCCCUUCGAAGGGGAAAGCAGGGGACCUUCGGGCCUCGCACUGGCAAACGGCCGAUAUCCGGAUUAGCUAGUUGGUGGGGUAACGGCUCACCAAGGGCGACGAUCCGUAGCUGGUUUGAGAGGACGACCAGCCACACUGGGACUGAGACACGGCCCAGACUCCUGCGGGGAGGCAGCAGUGGGGAAUUUUGGACAAUGGGGGAAACCUGAUCCAGCCAUCCCGCGUGUGCGAUGAAGGCCUUCUUCGGGUUGUAAACACUUUGGCAGGGAAAGAAACAGCACGGGAUAAUACCCCGUGCAACUGACGGUACCUGCAGAAUAAGCACCGGCUAACUACGUGCCAGCAGCCGCGGUAGCCUGCGUAAGUGCAAGCGUUAAUCGGAAUUACUGGGCGUAAAGCGUGCGCAGGCAGUUCGGAAAGAUGUGAAAUCCCAGAGCUUAGCUUUGGAACUGCAUUUUUUUAACUACCGAGCUAGAGUGUGUCAGAGGAGGUGGAAUUCCGCGUGUAGCAGUGAAAUGCGUAGAUAUGCGGAGGAACACCGAUGGCGAGGCAGCCUCCUGGGAUAACACUGACGCUCAUGCACGAAAGCGUGGGGAGCAAACGGGAUUAGAUACCCUGCGUAGUCCACGCCCUAAACGAUGUCUUUGCUUCUAUUUGGGGCCUUCGGGCCUUGGUAGCGCAGCUAACGCGUGAGAUUGACCGCCUGGGAAAUUACGGUCGCAAGAUUAAAACUCAAAGGAAUUGACGGGGACCCGCACCAAGCGGUGGAUGAUGUGGAUUAAUUCGAUGCAACGCGAAAAACCUUACCUACCCUUGACAUGUCUGGAAUCCCGAAGAGAUUUGGGAGUGCUCGCAAGAGAACCGGAACACAGGUGCUGCAUGGCUGUCGUCAGCUCGUGUCGUGAGAUGUUGGGUUAAGUCCCGCAACGAGCGCAACCCUUGUCAUUAGUUGCUACGAAGGGCACUCUAUUGAGACUGCCGGUGACAAACCGGAGGAAGGUGGGGAUGACGUCAAGUCCUCAUGGCCCUUAUGGGUAGGGCUUCACACAUCGCCACAAUGGUCGGGACAGAGGUCGCCAACCCGCGAGGGGAGCCAAUCCCAGAAACCCGAUCGUAGUCCGGAUCACCAGUCUGCAACUCGACUGCGUGAAGUCGGAAUCGCUGGUAAUCGCGGAUCAGCAUGUCCGCGGUGAAUACGUUCCCGGGUCUUGUACAUACCCGUCACACCAUGGGAGUGGGUUUUACCAGAAGUAGUUAGCCUAACCGUAAGGAGGGCGAUUACCACGGUAGGAUUCAUGACCAGGGUGAAGUCGUGACUGGGUAA